GAGAAAAACAAGGGCUCACCCUUGUUCUCACCAAAUUCACCAAAUUGACAAAGGAAAAUCGAUGAUUAUCAAUUGCAUGUGGUAGAAUUUCGAUCAGUUACCCAUAUCCAAUCAAGUGGCGUGAAGGAAGAAGGCUCAAGUGCUAAGAAAACGGAAGGUUCACAAGAUCGAGGUAAAUCCUCGACUUAGGUGAUUGGACGACUUGGAAUGUGCACACAUGGUUUACGCCCGCUUCUCGCUUCCGUUGUUAAGUCCUUUUUGAAUGGUCUAAGUCUUGGUCUUAUGUAAUCGAGUCUAGUUAGUAUGUUGUCAUCUUUGUCGUAGGGUAAAAUUUGGUAGAUGGAAAUCAUGUCGUGACUAAUGUGGACUUGUUUGUUCGUUUUGGGAUUUUGUCAAAGAUGUUUAAUGUUUUAA
Molecule: long non-coding RNA, 414 nt
Organism: Helianthus annuus (common sunflower)
Lineage: Eukaryota; Viridiplantae; Streptophyta; Magnoliopsida; Asterales; Asteraceae
Exons: 3
Source: RefSeq, a predicted model, not a curated record